ACAAGCAGCGGAGCGUGUGGUUUAAUUCGUUGCUACACGAAGAACCUUACCUGGUUUGACAUAUAGGUUGUAGGGAACUGAAAGGGACCGACCUUCGGGGAGCCUAUACAGGUGUUGCAUGGCUGUCGUCAGCUCGUGUCGUGAGAUGUUCGGUUAAGUCCGCUAACGAGCGCAACCCUCGUCGUAUGUUAUAUGUGUCAUACGAGACUGCCGGUAAAAAGCCGGAGGAAGGUGAGGAUGAUGUCAAGUCAGCAUGACCUUUAUAUCCAGGGCUACACACACGCUACAAUGGUCUGUACAAUGGGUAGCCAAGCCGCGAGGCGGAGCCAAUCCUGAAAGCAGGCCUCAGUUCAGAUUGCAGUCUGCAACUCGACUGCAUGAAGCCGGAGUUGCUAGUAACCGCAGGUCAGCAAUGCUGCGGUGAAUACGUUCCCGGGUCUU
RNAcentral lists this ribosomal RNA (441 nucleotides) under uncultured Anaerolineaceae bacterium. Its description in RNAcentral is "bacterial SSU rRNA". It matches the Rfam family "Bacterial small subunit ribosomal RNA", at positions 925 to 1382 of the family's 1533-position model. Lineage: Bacteria; Bacillati; Chloroflexota; Anaerolineae; Anaerolineales; Anaerolineaceae. The record is from RNAcentral.